UUUAUCUUAGUGGCGGACGGGUGAGUAACGCGUGAGCAACCUGCCUUUCAGAGGGGGAUAACGUCUUGAAAAGGACGCUAAUACCGCAUGAGAUCGUAGUCCCACAUGGGACAGCGACCAAAGGAGCAAUCCGCUGAAAGAUGGGCUCGCGUCCGAUUAGAUAGUUGGCGGGGUAACGGCCCACCAAGUCGACGAUCGGUAGCCGGACUGAGAGGUUGAACGGCCACAUUGGGACUGAGACACGGCCCAGACUCCUACGGGAGGCAGCAGUGAGGGAUAUUGGUCAAUGGGGGAAACCCUGAACCAGCAACGCCGCGUGAGGGAUGACGGCCUUCGGGUUGUAAACCUCUGUCCUCUGUGAAGAUAAUGACGGUAGCAGAGGAGGAAGCUCCGGCUAACUACGUGCCAGCAGCCGCGGUAAUACGUAGGGAGCAAGCGUUGUCCGGAUUUACUGGGUGUAAAGGGUGCGUAGGCGGUUCGGCAAGUCAGAAGUGAAAUCCAUGGGCUUAACCCAUGAACUGCUUUUGAAACUGUCGAACUUGAGUGAAGUAGAGGUAGGCGGAAUUCCCGGUGUAGCGGUGAAAUGCUUAGAGAUCAUACAGAACACCGAUUGCGAAGGCAGCUUACCAAACUAUAUCUG
RNAcentral lists this ribosomal RNA (640 nucleotides) under uncultured Lachnospiraceae bacterium. Its description in RNAcentral is "bacterial SSU rRNA". It matches the Rfam family "Bacterial small subunit ribosomal RNA", at positions 86 to 742 of the family's 1533-position model. The record is from RNAcentral. Lineage: Bacteria; Bacillati; Bacillota; Clostridia; Lachnospirales; Lachnospiraceae.